GCUGGUUUAGCUCAGUGGAUAGAGCGUCGGCCUGUGGACCGAACGGUACCGGUUCGAUUCUGGUCAAAGGCA
Molecule: transfer RNA, 72 nt
Filed under: Myotis lucifugus (little brown bat)
Lineage: Eukaryota; Metazoa; Chordata; Mammalia; Chiroptera; Vespertilionidae
Rfam family: tRNA
About the family: Transfer RNA (tRNA) molecules are approximately 80 nucleotides in length.
Source: Rfam by way of RNAcentral